AGAGUUUGAUCCUGGCUCAGGACGAACGCUGGCGGCGUGCUUAACACAUGCAAGUCGAACGGAAAGGCCCCUUCGGGGGUACUCGAGUGGCGAACGGGUGAGUAACACGUGGGUGAUCUGCCCUGCACUUUGGGAUAAGCCUGGGAAACUGGGUCUAAUACCGAAUAGGACCGCAUGCUUCAUGGUGUGUGGUGGAAAGCUUUUGCGGUGUGGGAUGGGCCCGCGGCCUAUCAGCUUGUUGGUGGGGUAAUGGCCUACCAAGGCGACGACGGGUAGCCGGCCUGAGAGGGUGUCCGGCCACACUGGGACUGAGAUACGGCCCAGACUCCUACGGGAGGCAGCAGUGGGGAAUAUUGCACAAUGGGCGCAAGCCUGAUGCAGCGACGCCGCGUGGGGGAUGACGGCCUUCGGGUCGUAAACCUCUUUCAGUAUCGGCGAAGCUUCAAGAUUCUUCUUGGGGUGACGGUAGGUACAGAAGAAGCACCGGCCAACUACGUGCCAGCAGCCGCGGUAAUACGUAGGGUGCGAGCGUUGUCCGGAAUUACUGGGCGUAAAGAGCUCGUAGGUGGUUUGUCACGUUGUCCGUGAAAACUCACAGCUUAACUGUGGGCGUGCGGGCGAUACGGGCAGACUAGAGUACUGUAGGGGAGACUGGAAUUCCUGGUGUAGCGGUGGAAUGCGCAGAUAUCAGGAGGAACACCGGUGGCGAAGGCGGGUCUCUGGGCAGUAACUGACGCUGAGGAGCGAAAGCGUGGGGAGCGAACAGGAUUAGAUACCCUGGUAGUCC
Molecule: ribosomal RNA, 787 nt
Filed under: uncultured bacterium
Lineage: Bacteria
Description: bacterial SSU rRNA
Rfam family: Bacterial small subunit ribosomal RNA
Source: RNAcentral